GAUGAACGCUAGCGGCAGGCCUAACACAUGCAAGUCGCGGGGCAGCGCGGUGCAGCAAUGCACUGGCGGCGACCGGCGCACGGGUGCGUAACGCGUAUGCAACCUGCCCAUUCCCGGGGGAUAGCCCGCCGAAAGGCGGAUUAAUACCCCAUGGACCCUUAGCCCCGCAUGGGGCGGAGGGUAAAGCUCCGGCGGGAAUGGAUGGGCAUGCGUGCCAUUAGCUGGUUGGUGGGGUAACGGCCCACCAAGGCUACGAUGGCUAGGGGGUCUGGGAGGAUGAUCCCCCACACUGGUACUGAGACACGGACCAGACUCCUACGGGAGGCAGCAGUGAGGAAUAUUGGUCAAUGGGCGGAAGCCUGAACCAGCCAUGCCGCGUGCAGGACGACGGCCCUACGGGUUGUAAACUGCUUUUCCGGGGAAGAAUAACCCCCUGCGGGGGGAUGCCGGUACCCCGGGAAUAAGGAUCGGCUAACUCCGUGCCAGCAGCCGCGGUAAACGUAGCGUG
RNAcentral lists this ribosomal RNA (508 nucleotides) under uncultured bacterium. RNAcentral's name for it is "bacterial SSU rRNA". It matches the Rfam family "Bacterial small subunit ribosomal RNA", at positions 28 to 534 of the family's 1533-position model. The record is from RNAcentral.